Molecule: unclassified non-coding RNA, 375 nt
Filed under: uncultured Actinomycetes bacterium
Lineage: Bacteria; Bacillati; Actinomycetota; Actinomycetes
Description: uncultured actinobacterium contains 16S-23S intergenic spacer region
Source: RNAcentral
UCCGGUUUGUCACCGGCAGUCUGGCGUGAGUCCCCAACUUAAUGCUGGCAACACGCCACGGGGGUUGCGCUCGUUGUGGGACUUAACCCAACAUCUCACGACACGAGCUGACGACAGCCAUGCAGCACCUGUGGCACACCCUCGAAGGUCACACGUUUCCGUGCGCUUGCAGUGCCAUGUCGAGUCCAGGUAAGGUUCUUCGCGUUGCAUCGAAUUAAAGAACAUGCUCCGCUGCUUGUGCGGGCCCCCGUCAAUUCCUUUGAGUUUCAGCCUUGCGGCCGUACUCCCCAGGCGGGGCACUAGUCGCGUUAGCUUGGCCACGGAAGGGCUCGAUCCCCCCCGCGGCGAGUGCCCAUCGUUUACCGCGUGGACUAC